AACGCUAGCUACAGGCUUAACACAUGCAAGUCGAGGGGCGUCAGGAAGAAAGCUUGCUUUCUUUGCUGGCGACCGGCGCACGGGUGAGUAACACGUAUCCAACCUGCCCUUUACUCGGGGAUAGCCUUUCGAAAGAAAGAUUAAUACCCGAUGGCAUAAUGAUUCCGCAUGGUUUCAUUAUUAAAGGAUUCCGGUAAAGGAUGGGGAUGCGUUCCAUUAGGUUGUUGGUGAGGUAACGGCUCACCAAGCCUUCGAUGGAUAGGGGUUCUGAGAGGAAGGUCCCCCACAUUGGAACUGAGACACGGUCCAAACUCCUACGGGAGGCAGCAGUGAGGAAUAUUGGUCAAUGGGCGCUAGCCUGAACCAGCCAAGUAGCGUGAAGGAUGAAGGCUCUAUGGGUCGUAAACUUCUUUUAUAUAAGAAUAAAGUGCAGUAUGUAUACUGUUUUGUAUGUAUUAUAUGAAUAAGGAUCGGCUAACUCCGUGCCAGCAGCCGCGGUAAUACGGAGGAUCCGAGCGUUAUCCGGAUUUAUUGGGUUUAAAGGGAGCGUAGGUGGACUGGUAAGUCAGUUGUGAAAGUUUGCGGCUCAACCGUAAAAUUGCAGUUGAUACUGUCAGUCUUGAGUACAGUAGAGGUGGGCGGAAUUCGUGGUGUAGCGGUGAAAUGCUUAGAUAUCACGAAGAACUCCGAUUGCGAAGGCAGCUCACUGGACUGCAACUGACACUGAUGCUCGAAAGUGUGGGUAUCAAACAGGAUUAGAUACCCUGGUAGUCCACACAGUAAACGAUGAAUACUCGCUGUUUGCGAUAUACAGUAAGCGGCCAAGCGAAAGCAUUAAGUAUUCCACCUGGGGAGUACGCCGGCAACGGUGAAACUCAAAGGAAUUGACGGGGGCCCGCACAAGCGGAGGAACAUGUGGUUUAAUUCGAUGAUACGCGAGGAACCUUACCCGGGCUUAAAUUGCAGUGGAAUGAUGUGGAAACAUGUCAGUGAGCAAUCACCGCUGUGAAGGUGCUGCAUGGUUGUCGUCAGCUCGUGCCGUGAGGUGUCGGCUUAAGUGCCAUAACGAGCGCAACCCUUAUCUUUAGUUACUAACAGGUUAUGCUGAGGACUCUAGAGAGACUGCCGUCGUAAGAUGUGAGGAAGGUGGGGAUGACGUCAAAUCAGCACGGCCCUUACGUCCGGGGCUACACACGUGUUACAAUGGGGGGUACAGAAGGCAGCUAGCGGGUGACCGUAUGCUAAUCCCAAAAGCCUCUCUCAGUUCGGAUCGAAGUCUGCAACCCGACUUCGUGAAGCUGGAUUCGCUAGUAAUCGCGCAUCAGCCACGGCGCGGUGAAUACGUUCCCGGGCCUUGUACGCACCGCCCGUCAAGCCAUGGGAGCCGGGGGUACCUGAAGUACGUAACCGCAAGGAUCGUCCUAGGGUAAAACUGGUGACUGGGGCUAAGU
This 1451-nucleotide ribosomal RNA is filed under the name uncultured organism. Its description in RNAcentral is "SSU rRNA". It matches the Rfam family "Bacterial small subunit ribosomal RNA". The record is from RNAcentral.